Gossypium arboreum is the source of this 800-nucleotide long non-coding RNA. RefSeq lists it as uncharacterized. The transcript is spliced from 5 exons. NCBI's taxonomy places the organism in Eukaryota, Viridiplantae, Streptophyta, Magnoliopsida, Malvales, Malvaceae. The record is from RefSeq and is a predicted model, not a curated record.
AAAGUAACUUUACUCUUUGUUAUUUUCGUUUAGCUGCUGCUACUGCCUUCCUCCUCCUAUUUCCAUUUCCAAAACCCAAAUCCCUAGCUCACCACCACCUUCUAGCUCACCACCACCACCACCUCCACUGUCCAAUUGUCCGUUGGCCACCUCCAAUUAGCCUCAAGCUCAGCUCAGCAACUUCAUCAUUUUUGCUUCUUCAUUUGCUGUCUUCUUCACGUUCGAACAGUCUUAUACAUGUGGACGAUGGGUUUAAUGAGUAUGAAAGUGCUGCCAAACGUCAAAAGUCUACCACUUCAAAGGUGUGGGAUGAAAUGACAAAGCUUGAAUGCGAGAGCAAAAAUGAAUUAGAGGCACAAUGUAAUCACUCACUAGGAGUGAAAAGUCACAGUUGGACAUUUAUUUGGAAGAACCGGAGCUUGAGUUGAAUAGUCAAAUAGAUGUUUUGGAUUAUUGGAGCAAAAGUUCAGUUCGAUAUAAUGAGCUUUCAUUAUUAGCUCGUGAUCUUUUGGCAAUUCCAAUAUCAACUGUACCUUUCGAAUUGGCUUUUAGCAUGGGUAAGAAAGUUAUCACACCUUUAAGGAGUUCACUUAAGCCAAAAACGGUUCAAGCCGUUAUUUGCUUGGAUGAUUAGAUGCGAGCUAAGGGAUUUUCAACAGAAAUUGGUUCCAAGAAUGAUGAUAACGAUGAGGACGAUGAGGACGAUGUUUCUUCGAUUGCUUUUUAGGUUUUUGGUGUUGUUGGCGAUGCUGUUUUUUGUGCUAUUUUGUUGCUAUUUGGUCUUUUUUUGAUGUUUGUUU